CGCCCAGACUCCUACGGGAGGCAGCAGUGAGGAAUAUUGGUCAAUGGUCGGGAGACUGAACCAGCCAAGCCGCAUGAGGGAGGAAGGUACAGAGUAUCGUAAACCUCUUUUGUCAGGGAACAAAGGCGGGGACGUGUCCCCGGAUGAGUGUACCUGAAGAAAAGGCAUCGGCUAACUCCGUGCCAGCAGCCGCGGUAAUACGGAGGAUGCGAGCGUUAUCCGGAUUUAUUGGGUUUAAAGGGUGCGCAGGCGGUCUGUUAAGUCAGCGGACAAAGCCGGGGGCACAACGCCGGCCCGCCGUUGGAACUGGCAGUCUCGAGUUGGAGAGAAGUAUGCGGAAUGCGCGGUGUAGCGGUGAAAUGCAUAGAUAUCGCGCAGAACUCCGAUUGCGAAGGCAGCAUGCCGGCUCCACACUGACGCUGAGGCACGAAAGCGUGGGUAUCGAACAGGAUUAGAUACCCCAGUA
This 466-nucleotide ribosomal RNA is filed under the name uncultured bacterium. RNAcentral's name for it is "bacterial SSU rRNA". It matches the Rfam family "Bacterial small subunit ribosomal RNA", at positions 328 to 792 of the family's 1533-position model. The record is from RNAcentral.